This 433-nucleotide ribosomal RNA is filed under the name uncultured bacterium. RNAcentral's name for it is "partial 16S ribosomal RNA". It matches the Rfam family "Bacterial small subunit ribosomal RNA", at positions 29 to 507 of the family's 1533-position model. The record is from RNAcentral.
AACGAACGCUGGCGGCAUGCCUAAUACAUGCCAGUCGAACGAGACCUUCGGGUCUAGUGGCGCACGGGUGUGUAACGCGUGGGAACCUUAACUUAGGUUCGGAAUAACUCUCCGACAGGGAUGCUAAUACCGGAUAAUGUCUUCGGACCAAGGAUUUAUUGCCUUUGGAUGGGCCCGCGUUGGAUUAGCUAGUUGGUAGGGUAAUAGCCUACCAAGGCGACGAUCCAUAGCUGGUCUGAGAGGAUGAUCAGCCACACUGGGACUGAGACACGGCCCAGACUCCUACGGGAGGCAGCAGUGGGGAAUAUUGGACAAUGGGCGAAAGCCUGAUCCAGCAAUGCCGCGUGAGUGAUGAAGGCCUUAGGGUUGUAAAGCUCUAUUACCCGGGAUGAUAAUGACAGUACCGGGAGAAUAAGCUCCGGCUAACUCCGUG